This 73-nucleotide transfer RNA is filed under the name Acinetobacter phage vB_AbaM_phiAbaA1. It matches the Rfam family "tRNA". Rfam says of the family: Transfer RNA (tRNA) molecules are approximately 80 nucleotides in length. Their secondary structure includes four short double-helical elements and three loops (D, anti-codon, and T loops). Lineage: Duplodnaviria; Heunggongvirae; Uroviricota; Caudoviricetes; Luriaviridae. The record is from Rfam by way of RNAcentral. RNAcentral also lists the same sequence under 1 other name.
GUGAUCAUGGUGUAAUUGGCUAGCACCGCGAUUUGUGAUGUCGUUAGUCUGAGUUCGAGCCUCAGUGAUCACA